CCCUGAGUCUUUCAGUAAGGUUUUCAGAGCCCAUGGUGAAUAGAUUUACUGGAAAGUUUGGCUCCCUCUAGGGUGCAAGGCCACAGUUUUCUAACAGCUACAGGACAACGGUAUUCCUUAGACACAAGGCAGAAGUGGGGCAGAUAGGCUUUGAGCCUAGAAGAAAGUAAUCCUUCAGCUUGGAUCUUAGUAGGAAAGUAAGAAAUCGAGAGCAGGCAUGGAUCUUACAUGAGGCUUGGGGUUUUCAGAGCUCUAAGACAAAAAUGGGCUUCUCUCUAGGGCUGGCAUAAGGAAGACAUUCCCAGAAGCCUUAGAUCCACUCCAUCUAGCCCUGAAAUGGAGAGGCCACAUGCAAUAGUGGCAAGCGAAAACUCCAAAACUUAUGGCACACACAACUGCAUCCACCCCCCACACUAAGAGAUUUGAGCAAACUCUAGCAUGGCUUCUGUCAGCUCAAGGCCAAGUCCCUAGAAUUACAAUGCCAGCCCCCUUAAAAUGCCUGCCCAAGAAAGCUCAGUGCUGCCAAAAGAAUUUACUGCUCCUUCCAGCCAAAACCUGACUAUAAGCCCCUGACGUUCCUUAGAGGCUUUACUUUAGAAGACUUGAAAUGACAAGUGCUUUCUCUGUCCCUUUGAGAUGUAUCUCCUACAACCCAGGAACGUGUUUCUCAAGGACCUGGAAGCCAUCCCUGUUAAAUGUGAUCAUCAGGAAAGAUAGAGCCACGGUCCCCCGGUCUCUGUGGGAAGAGGUGGGUUUCUGAGUACCUGACAGGUCAUAGAAGGUGAAAGAAAGAGACUCAGAUAUCGAAUCAGAAGAGUGUCACCUGCAUUCUCUCUCUGCCAGAGAUUAACCACGCGCCCUUCUACGAUGGCAUAGCUGCAACGUAAGUGAGCAGUGGCUUUGAAAGCAUGAGCUCCAGUUCCUGCCUUCCUGACCUUGUCCAGUGGUGGGCAUUGAGUCAAGCUGGGAGAUCUGAGCACAUUCAUCAGGAGAGGCCCAGAGUAAUUUCUGCUUCUCGGGUGUGGGAGUCCCUAUGCCAAGAUGGGCUCUGGCCCAGGAUGCUCCCUCAUCCAAGAUAGUCCUCAAAUGCUUCCUACUAUGCUUGCUCGCUCAAUAUGAAUAGACUUUUCUGCCCCAAUUUCCUGCUGAGGUUGUAGUGUUUAUAAAUACUAGCCAUUUUCCCUAGGCUUAGAUAUUCUGCCUGUGCUUGUCCAGUCCCCUCUUCUUGGGGCACCAGAUACUGUUUCUCCUCUCUACCCUACUGUUAGUCUUGGGGUCCUGCUCAAACAAGCAGUUCACCUGGACUGUGCCACUGUGUUGCUGCACUCACACAUGAAUCCACAUACCACUGCCUGGGAGCUCCCGGUUUGUGCCCCACCUGUCAAACUAGAUCUGUGUUCUGGCUCUACCUGCUCAUGUGACCUGAGUUCCCACAUUCCUGUGGAACAUGCAGUUUGAACUAACAGCCACCACACUCAGAGUCACUUUGCAAGUCAGAGAAGUUCCCAUAUGCCUCUUCCUGACUGUGUCCCCUCCACCACUAGCUUCUCACAGGGGCCUUGGGAUGGGAUCUCAAAAGAUCUUAUUCAAAAUCUGGUUUUGGGAAUCAUUCUGACUGCAGCAAUUUUUUUGGAACUCUGCUCUGAAAACUGCCACGCAAACGAAUCAUUCUCAUUGCUUUGAAGAUACGCCUCUUUUAUGGUGAAAAGGAUGUGUCUUGGUUUUGUCAGCCCACAUCUCCCUUUUUCACUUUUCUCAUAAGUGUGGGAGAACUGGAAUUUGAAGGGAAAGUCAAUAUAUUAUCAGUUUUGACACAUCCUCUCAUCACUGUUCAAUGAGCUUGUAUUAUAUUUAAAAUAAUUAAUAAAAUGCUAAUUUGAUCUUGGUCAAUCCUUUUAUUGGAUCGAGCUGAACAACUUCAGUGAGUUUAGCACUGUUAAAUAUGUUCUUUAAAGUACUGAUAAUAACAAAGGCAUGGGCUGCAAUUGCAAGAACUAUAAUGCCAUCUGAAUUAAUGUCUUUGAGAUAAAGGGCUUUCCUGCAGAGCGUUCAACUGGAAGAUGUACCCAGUGGGUAAGUAGCAAAGACUGCUUAAGUCCUUGUGGAGACCAGGUGGUGUUGCAAUUCAGAUUUCAGUUCUUCCUCCUUUUGUGUGGAAUGCAAGAAUUCAGGAAAAUCCAUCAACCAUUAAGCUUUGUACUGUUAAGUUUUUCUGACUAUAACCUGAGAUGAUAAUAACAGCUCAGGGUACUAUCCUGUGAUUGGGUCA
This 2269-nucleotide long non-coding RNA is filed under the name Equus caballus (horse). Its description in RNAcentral is "lncRNA (ENSECAG00000057780.1)". The record is from RNAcentral. Lineage: Eukaryota; Metazoa; Chordata; Mammalia; Perissodactyla; Equidae.